RNAcentral lists this long non-coding RNA (1223 nucleotides) under Strigops habroptila (Kakapo). RNAcentral describes it as "lncRNA (ENSSHBG00005020719.1)". The record is from RNAcentral. Lineage: Eukaryota; Metazoa; Chordata; Aves; Psittaciformes; Psittacidae.
UAUGCAGUUUAUCAAUUUAUUGCAAAGUAUCAGGAAAUCUCUGAAUGGUUUGACCCGCUUUACAUGCUUCCUUGAAUUCUGAAAUGAAAGCAAGAGAGCAUUUGCUUAAAUCAACAAUAUAAAUCACCAGUUUAAAGGUUAACACUUGAUUGUGCAGCACAAGCAGCAGACGUUUAUCGACCCGGUUCAAGGACUUCUGGUUUUCUGAACACAUAACGCUGCAAUAGAUUGCUUUGCACUAGGCUUCUGCAGGGAUACAGACAACACAGGGGGCAGGAUGGGUGGCCUCAGGGCAUCACUCGCUUGGAGCAGGGUGGAGGGCAGCUCCCCACAUACUGGCAUGCCACUAGCCCACUGGGAGACACUCGUAGGCUGUCACCCAUCCUGUCCUGGCAGCCUUUUCAGUGCUCAGAACAUUGGCGUUGACACCAGCGCAGUUGUGUUUCACAUGGGGCAGCUGCUGCAAAGCUCUUCUUCCAGCCAGGAGCACCAAAGCCAACCCCCUGGCACCUGGACCGAGACCCUGUUCAACUAACAGAAAAUCACAGGGAAGAUGGAAGUACUGUGCUGGUGGAGCAAUAAAUAAGGUCCUUAUCUACUGUGGCAAGAAAAAGGCAGGCUUAGGGGGCAAGGGGGGCAAGGGAGAAGCAAAAAGCAUACCUAGGGAAGGAAGAAAACCUGAAAAUAAGUCAUUGAAUGGGUUGGGUUGGAAGGGACCUUAAAGCUCACCUAAUUCCAAGCCCCCACCAUGGGCAGGGACAGCUACCACCAGACCAGGUUGCUCCAACACUCCUAAUUAGCAGUUUUAGUUUGACAAUUAGAUUCAAAAUCCCCAAAAUCAGUUAAGACAUCAGCUUAGACACCAGCCAAACCAACAGCUACUCUCUGCUCCUGCAAAAUAUUGGUGAACACCUUCUCCUUGCAGCCAUGGUACCUGCACCAGGGAUGCCCAGGGAAGGACCCAGCUGUGCUUGGUGCUGCUCUGCAGGCAGCACCAGAAGGAAGUUCCUUCAGAAAUCAGUUUGGGAACCAAAGGGAACAAUUCUGAGCCAGCAUGUCAGACCGACCCAUGAAAAAAACAGAAAGGGUGAUUGCUGCAGCUGGGCUAUGUUGUCAUACACUGCUUACAUUUGUUUUAAUUUUAAACUGAGAGUCAGUCCAAGGUUCGUUACACAAACAUAUGGCACCGGUAUUACAUUCUACCUUGUAUUUAUAGAAAGUCC